UCUAAGUAUAACCUGCCAGACAGGGAAACUGCGUACGGCUCAUUACACCAGCCUUAAUUUACUUGACCUUGACAACCUACUUGGAUAACUGUGGUAAUUCUAGAGCUAAUACAUGCACCAAAGCUCCGAUCCUCGCGGAGAGGAGCGCAUUUGAUCGCCACAAAACCAAGCGCCCAUCUGGGCGUCCAGUGCUGAACCAGAACAACUCAGCUGAUCGCACGGUCUUGUACCGGCGACGUGUCUUUCAAGUGUCUGCCUUAUCAACUUUCGAUGGUAGUGUACCUGACUACCAUGGUUGUGACGGGUAACGGAGGAUAAGGGUUCGACUCCGGAGAAGGGGCCUGAGAAAUGGCCACUACGUCUAAGGAUGGCAGCAGGCGCGCAAAUUACCCACUCUCAACGCGAGGAGGUAGUGACGAGAAAUAACGAGACCGUUCUCAUACGAGGCCGGUUAUUGGAAUGGGUACAAUUUAAA
RNAcentral lists this ribosomal RNA (475 nucleotides) under unidentified nematode Sourhope farm. RNAcentral's name for it is "SSU rRNA". It matches the Rfam family "Eukaryotic small subunit ribosomal RNA", at positions 58 to 529 of the family's 1831-position model. Lineage: Eukaryota; Metazoa; Nematoda. The record is from RNAcentral.